GUGAUAGCUCAGUUGGUAGAGCAUGAGACUCUUAAUCGCAUGGUUAUGGGUUCAAGCCCCACGUUGAACA
Molecule: non-coding RNA, 70 nt
Organism: Podarcis lilfordi (Lilford's wall lizard)
Lineage: Eukaryota; Metazoa; Chordata; Lepidosauria; Squamata; Lacertidae
Source: the annotation of a GenBank genome assembly